GCAUGGCUAAAACAUGCAAGUCGAACGCGAAGCUCCUUCGGGAGCGGGACGUGGCGAAAGGGCGAGGAAUACAUUCUUACGUACCCCAAGGUCGGGGAUAGCUGAGGGAAACUUCAGGUAAUACCCGAUGUGGUGCUUCGGCAUCAAAGGCUUGCCGCCUUGGGAGCGGAGAAUGUCCUAUCAGGUUGUUGGUGAGGUAAUGGCUCACCAAGCCGAAGACGGGUAGCGGGUGUGAGAGCAUGACCCGCCGCAUCGGGACUGAGACACUGCCCGGACUCCUACGGGAGGCUGCAGUAACGAAUCUUCCGCAAUGCGCGAAAGCGUGACGGGGCAAUGCCGCGUGUGGGAUGAAGCUCCUCGGAGUGUAAACCACUGUCAGGGUUUAGGAACACAAUGACCAGACCCAAAGGAAGGGCCGGCUAACUCUGUGCCAGCAGCCGCGGUAAUACAGAGGGCCCGAGCGUUAAUCGGAAUCACUGGGCUUAAAGCGUACGUAGGCGGACAUGUAGGCACCUUGUGAAAGCCCUCGGCUCAACCGGGGAAUCGCUUGGUGAACCACAUGUCUUGAGGCAGGUAGGGGCGGUCGGAACGCUAGGUGGAGCGGUGAAAUGCAUAGAUAUCUAGCGGAACGCCAAAGGAGAAGUCAGGCCGCUGGGCCUGUCCUGACGCUGAGGUACGAAAGCGUGGGUAGCGAACGGGAUUAGAUACCCCGGUAGUCCACGCCGUAAACGAUGCGAACUAGAUCGGGGAGGUUUGACGCCCUCCUGGUCGAAGCAAAAGUGUUAAGUUCGCCGCCUGGGGAGUACGGUCGCAAGGCUAAAACUCAAAGGAAUUGACGGGGGCUCACACAAGCGGUGGAGCAUGUGGCUUAAUUUGAAGCAACGCGAAGAACCUUAUCCUGGGCUUGACAUGUAGAGUUCAGUCGUUAAAGACGAUGUC
This 939-nucleotide ribosomal RNA is filed under the name uncultured Pseudomonadota bacterium. Its description in RNAcentral is "bacterial SSU rRNA". It matches the Rfam family "Bacterial small subunit ribosomal RNA", at positions 42 to 1015 of the family's 1533-position model. Lineage: Bacteria; Pseudomonadati; Pseudomonadota. The record is from RNAcentral.